UUGGUAUGUUGAGGCAGUAAUAUAUCUCUUGCUGUUGCUUGAGCUUUUUCUCAACUAACUUUAGCUUCAAAGCAGACGAUAGUUUUAGAUCGUGAAACUAAGACAGCUACUCAAUCUUUUCGGGACUGUAUAUGAAGAAUGAUUAAUUUCACUCAUCAUUCAAAUCAUUUUGGAUGGAUGUUAAUGGCCCUUGCAUUUUUGAUACUUAGUAAAGCUGUACAUCUAUAUAUAUAUAUAUAUAUAUAUAUAUAUAUAUCUGAUGACACUGGAUGAGAAAAUUAUGAUGUUGAAUUUGGCGAUGGAUGAGAAAUCAUUGUGUUUGCUUAAGAAUUAUUUGGAUAUAGGACCUAAAGUAAAUGUAUUAACAUGACUAAGAUAUGCUCCCAACUAAUUGGUAUCUCCUAAAUGGUUUGUGAGGAUUCAUAUAGCCGACACCGACUUGUUUUAGGAUUGAGGGGUGUGGUUUGACGUAGAAGUCCAGACCAAAACUUUAUCUGACUAAAAGACUGGAUUUUUUUUGUACUUGGUCCUGCUUUCUGCCUGCACCUCGGAAUGCAUUUGUCGUCUUUGUGGAGUUUGUUCAGCAUUUGCUGGAAAUGUAUAUAUAUAUAUAUAUAAUGUAGAAGUCCAGACCAAAACUUUAUCUGACUAAAAGACUGGAUUUUUUUUGUACUUGGUCCUGCUUUCUGCCUGCACCUCGGAAUGCAUUUGUCGUCUUUGUGGAGUUUGUUCAGCAUUUGCUGGAAAUGUAUUCCACGAGCUUUGCUUCUCUAAGUUUGUUGGUUGAUGCUUGUUCCUACAAUUCGCACAAGAUAGGGUAAUGAUGAAACAAAAGCCUUUACAGGUUCUCUAUGAGGCGUGCAUAUGUUAUUGUUGGUCAAUAGAGCAGUUUGUGUGCUUCGGUGAGAAAAUCUCUCAGGGCUAUGGUUAAAGAUGGAAACGAAUCAUCGGGAUUUUAGUCAGUUCAUGUAAACUUGAGAACAGUACAGCUAUCUUAGUUUUCUGCUUGAUGCAUGCUUAUAUAAGGUGUUUACCUGCAG
RNAcentral lists this long non-coding RNA (1040 nucleotides) under Nicotiana benthamiana. Its description in RNAcentral is "long non-coding RNA (NBEN_LNC027093)". The record is from RNAcentral. Lineage: Eukaryota; Viridiplantae; Streptophyta; Magnoliopsida; Solanales; Solanaceae.